GAUGAACGCUGGCGGCGUGCCUAAUACAUGCAAGUCGAGCGAACGGACGAGAAGCUUGCUUCUCUGAUGUUAGCGGCGGACGGGUGAGUAACACGUGGAUAACCUACCUAUAAGACUGGGAUAACUUCGGGAAACCGGAGCUAAUACCGGAUGAUAUUUUGAACCGCAUGGUUCAAAAGUGAAAGACGGUCUUGCUGUCACUUAUAGAUGGAUCCGCGUUGCAUUAGCUAGUUGGUAAGGUAACGGCUUACCAAGGCAACGAUGCAUAGCCGACCUGAGAGGGUGAUCGGCCACACUGGAACUGAGACACGGUCCAGACUCCUACGGGAGGCAGCAGUAGGGAAUAUUCCGCAAUGGGCGAAAGCCUGACGGAGCAACGCCGCGUGAGUGAUGAAGGUCUUCGGAUCGUAAAACUCUGUUAUUAGGGAAGAACAUAUGUGUAAGUAACUGUGCACAUCUUGACGGUACCUAAUCAGAAAGCCACGGCUAACUACGUG
This 497-nucleotide ribosomal RNA is filed under the name uncultured bacterium. RNAcentral describes it as "partial 16S ribosomal RNA". It matches the Rfam family "Bacterial small subunit ribosomal RNA", at positions 28 to 507 of the family's 1533-position model. The record is from RNAcentral.